Molecule: unclassified non-coding RNA, 691 nt
Filed under: Dermacentor andersoni
Lineage: Eukaryota; Metazoa; Arthropoda; Arachnida; Ixodida; Ixodidae
Description: uncharacterized LOC126543131
Source: RNAcentral
UUGCCCACCUAGGCCUAGUCUAAAUUCAUAUGCUCAAAUUCAAUACCCGUCAAGAAGAGAUGCACUGCUGCUGCGCCAGAUGUGGACGCCUGCCAGUCCAGGUCUUCAUUUGUUCACAUACAGUCUCGUCAACGCCUUGCCAACCCUAAUAGGCUGUGCCAAGAAAUUCGCGGUGUCUGCGACCUCCUUCAAUAGAAGGAUGCGACAGCUUGCUGCUGCAGUGGAGCUUUAUACCAAGCGCUAACCAAUGUGAGCAGGACUUUGCCUGUUAUCAGCAGCCGAACAGCUUUCCCACCAGAGAAGAAUGCGAGAUAACGUGCCCACGAGUUUCUGCACCAACGCCGCCUAUCAGGAUUCUCGGCUGCCGUUACUGGCUUCUUCAUAUGUCGCUCUGCAAGAAAAGUUGGGCGUCUUCCCGUCGGGACUUUUUCGGAAAAACCCACGAUCUCAUGGUCUUCACUGGCUGUGGUUACUGGAAAAGUAGAGUGUACGUCUAUGAUCUCCUCUCUAAAAAAUGCCGAGUGAAGCCCUGGUGGUGGAGGCUGCCUCCUGAGAAAAAGCCAUUGUUUGCCGACGCAAUCAGUCCCGUUAUUGUUCCUGUAGUAACGACUUUCGUAUCACUUGAUGAACCCAGGGUGCCUUUCAUGACUACGGACCGUUACUACUGAAAAUAAACAAUUCUUUAGACCUG